UGGGGAAUCUUAGACAAUGGGGGAAACCCUGAUCUAGCCAUGCCGCGUGAGCGAUGAAGGCCUUAGGGUUGUAAAGCUCUUUCAGCUGGGAAGAUAAUGACGGUACCAGCAGAAGAAGCCCCGGCUAACUCCGUGCCAGCAGCCGCGGUAAUACGGAGGGGGCUAGCGUUGUUCGGAAUUACUGGGCGUAAAGCGCACGUAGGCGGAUUAGUCAGUCAGAGGUGAAAUCCCAGGGCUCAACCCUGGAACUGCCUUUGAUACUGCUAGUCUUGAGGUCGAGAGAGGUGAGUGGAAUUCCGAGUGUAGAGGUGAAAUUCGUAGAUAUUCGGAGGAACACCAGUGGCGAAGGCGGCUCACUGGCUCGAUACUGACGCUGAGGUGCGAAAGCGUGGGGAGCAAGCAGGAUUAGAUACCCUGGUAGUCCACGCCGUAAACGAUGAAUGCCAGUCGUCGGGUUGCAUGCAAUUCGGUGACACACCUAACGGAUUAAGCAUUCCGCCUGGGGAGUACGGUCGCAAGAUUAAAACUCAAAUGAAUUGACGGGGUCAUAGCUGUUUCCUG
This 561-nucleotide ribosomal RNA is filed under the name uncultured bacterium. Its description in RNAcentral is "partial 16S ribosomal RNA". It matches the Rfam family "Bacterial small subunit ribosomal RNA", at positions 355 to 1376 of the family's 1533-position model. The record is from RNAcentral.